Molecule: ribosomal RNA, 440 nt
Filed under: uncultured bacterium
Lineage: Bacteria
Description: partial 16S ribosomal RNA
Rfam family: Bacterial small subunit ribosomal RNA
Source: RNAcentral
CCUACGGGUGGCAGCAGUGGGGAAUAUUGCACAAUGGGGGAAACCCUGAUGCAGCGACGCCGCGUGAGUGAAGAAGUAUUUCGGUACGUAAAGCUCUAUCAGCAGGGAAGAAAAUGACGGUACCUGACUAAGAAGCCCCGGCUAACUACGUGCCAGCAGCCGCGGUAAUACGUAGGGGGCAAGCGUUAUCCGGAUUUACUAGGUGUAAAGGGAGCGUAGACGGCAGCGCAAGUCUGGAGUGAAAUCCCAUGGCUUAACCAUGGAACUGCUUUGGAAACUGUGCAGCUAGAGUGCAGGAGAGGUAAGCGGAAUUCCUAGGGUAGCGGUGAAAUGCGUAGAUAUUAGGAGGAACACCAGUGGCGAAGGCGGCUUACUGGACUGUAACUGACGUUGAGGCUCGAAAGCGUGGGGAGCAAACAGGAUUAGAUACCCGAGUAGUC